CCACAUGCCUUUGUCAUGUACACUCACCUCUCUUCUGAGACGGGCUCCAUCCCGUGGCCUUUCUCUCUCUGUGGAGUUCACUCUGCCCCUUGCCACAGGCCCCUCAGCUCCUCUCUGGGAAGUGCAGAUGCUGGUCUCUGCCCCUUCUCAGCCAGGACUCAGGAAAGGGUCAUGCACAGGCCUUGCCUAUGGUUCCUGCACCCCUUGCCCAGAACAACGGCGUUGCACACCCAUGGUCGCCAACCCACCCUCCUCAGUCCUCGUUUCAGGUGACUGCUCCCUGUGAUGAAAGCCACUCCCUGGGCUCCCAUAUCCAGCUCUCAUUCCUCCCAUGCCCCUCUCUGCCUCCACUGAAGGCCCAUCUUCUUCUCUGAAUGUGGGAUUUCUCAGGCUCCCAAGCUACUUCACUUUCCCUUCUCUCCCCUGCCCCUCACUACCCAUAACGUUUUCAACCGACACCUCAUUCCACCAGGAAUUUCCCUGAGCUCCUAACAGUUUAGACUUUUCCAACAAGGUCUCACCUUCCUGAAGCCCAGUGGGAAACGGGCCCACACCCUGGAGGAGCCACUUAUCACCCCAGGGCAGCCCUGGAGGCUCCCACUGCCAGUGCAGGGUGUGGGGCGAGAGCAGGCAUGGCUGCAGUCAAGACAACUCCUGCUCCCUGAAAAAGAAAUUUGCCUGUCCAUGUUGAAAGGAGAGUGAUCAGGACACAAAGCACAGGAUAGAGCUAAACAACAACCUAGGGACCAAGGAUGCUGUUCUAGAUUCUAGAGGCAGCUGGUGUGGCUAAUGUGCUCAUGGCUGGCUCUAGUUGAUUAAUCCCUUCAAGAUGCUAUGGAAGCUAACCCUGAAAGUGCACCUCUGCCCUAGGGGGAGACAGGUAACAGUGACAAAGUAGGAAACAGUAACCCAGGAGGACAAAAGUGAGAUAAGGGGAUAAUAAAUCUGGGGGCUGAGAACAUGGGACAUCUGGGGAGCAGGCCCCAAACUCGCUCAGCCUGUCCUCUCUUCACCCUCCUUCACCCGCUUCCUGAUUCCGGG
Molecule: long non-coding RNA, 1041 nt
Filed under: Homo sapiens (human)
Lineage: Eukaryota; Metazoa; Chordata; Mammalia; Primates; Hominidae
Description: non-protein coding lnc-CCNF-1:1
Source: RNAcentral